CAGUAGUCACGAGUUGAUCAUGGCUACAGAACGAACGCUGGCGGCAGGCUUAACACAUGCAAGUCGAGCGCCCCGCAAGGGGAGCGGCAGACGGGUGAGUAACGCGUGGGAACAUACCCUUUGGUUCGGAAUAACUCAGGGAAACUUGAGCUAAUACCGGAUACGUCCGUAAGGAGAAAGAUUUAUCGCCAAAGGAUUGGCCCGCGUCCGAUUAGCUAGUUGGUGAGGUAACGGCUCACCAAGGCUACGAUCGGUAGCUGGUCUGAGAGGAUGAUCAGCCACAUUGGGACUGAGACACGGCCCAAACUCCUACGGGAGGCAGCAGUGGGGAAUAUUGGACAAUGGGCGCAAGCCUGAUCCAGCCAUGCCGCGUGAGUGAUGAAGGCCUUAGGGUUGUAAAGCUCUUUUGUCCGGGAAGAUAAUGACUGUACCGGAAGAAUAAGCCCCGGCUAACUUCGUG
This 460-nucleotide ribosomal RNA is filed under the name uncultured bacterium. Its description in RNAcentral is "bacterial SSU rRNA". It matches the Rfam family "Bacterial small subunit ribosomal RNA", at positions 1 to 507 of the family's 1533-position model. The record is from RNAcentral.